UACAGAGGGUGCGAGCGUUGUCCGGAAUCACUGGGCGUAAAGGGCGCGUAGGUGGCGACCCAAGUCUGUGGUGAAAGCUCGACGCUCAACGUCGAGUCGGCCAUAGAUACUGGGUUGCUUGAGCACUGUAGAGGCAGAUGGAAUUCCUGGUGUAGCGGUGAAAUGCGCAGAUAUCAGGAGGAACACCGGUGGCGAAGGCGGAUCUCUGGGCCAUUACUGACGCUGAGGAGCGAAAGCGUGGGGAGCGAACAGG
Molecule: ribosomal RNA, 253 nt
Filed under: uncultured bacterium
Lineage: Bacteria
Description: partial 16S ribosomal RNA
Rfam family: Bacterial small subunit ribosomal RNA
Source: RNAcentral